Non-coding RNA from Equus caballus (horse), 3759 nucleotides. The record is from RefSeq and is a predicted model, not a curated record. NCBI's taxonomy places the organism in Eukaryota, Metazoa, Chordata, Mammalia, Perissodactyla, Equidae.
AUAGUCCCUCAACUAGCAGCACUAGCGUCACCUGGCAACUUAGUGGAAAUGCAAAUUCUCAGGCCCCACCCCAGAGUUCCAGAAUCAGAAUCUCCGGGGCUGGAGUCUGGCAAUCUGUGUUCACAAGUCCCCCUCUUCCCAGGGAAAAUCUGGAUGGAAACAUGCUAGAGAAGCCACCGAAAUCUAAAUGCAGGGCCCUCCCAGCAAACAAACCAUGAGGCAGGAAACAUCAGUAUAAAUGGAGUGAGAGUCAUGGAGCCUGGACAAACUGAGGAGAAAGAACAGGAAAAGGAAAGAAGGUGGACAAGGCAGAUAGGAAACAUGAAGAGCAGUCCUCCAACAGUUUCUCCAGGGAGAAGCAGCAGUGUCUUUCCCUCCACCCCCGCUGCAGCAGUCUGUCCCUACAGGCAUGAUUUUAGGAAUCUUCUCAGGAGAGCAGGUAAGGAAUGCACAUUUGGCACCGGAAUGACUCCAAAAACUCAAGGCUGUUAGUCACCAGAAAAUGACACUCAGGGAACUUAUGAAAUACCCUGCAGGGGUUUUUAAAAAGUAGAUUACAUUCCAUUCCCUCAGUCUGGCUGGGGGUGUGGCCUGAACUCCCCAACAAAGUUCAAAGUCCUUUUGUAGUUGCAGGAGUGAGGGAGUCACACUGUCUUCCCUGGGGCAAGGGAGGGGAGCGAGGCAAGAUCAGAGUGACCACCACUCCCAUGGAACCAAGGCCCCCCAGUAUGGAAAACAGUGCCCUGGCCUUGGUGUCUGCCAGCCCGGCCACCAUGCAGUGACGGCCAGCAGGUACAGGCAGCCAGCUCACAAAGGGGCCGGAUACCUGAAGGAGCACCUCAUACCCCUCUUUCUGCAAGAGGGGUCCCGGCCCUCCUCCUCUACUCCUAAGUAAAUAUUCAAAGCAAUCUAGCUCGGAUCUAAAAUGCAUUUUGUCAGCCCAAAUAAUUGAGGCUUUUAAUUUUCUCCUUUUAAGCACCAGAAACAAAGGUUUCUAACCAGUAGUUAAAAUUUAUCAAAAACACAAAGGUCCCUGGCACUGGCCGGCAGGGUAAACAGCAGGUAAAUGAAUGCAGUGAUUCCAGAACCAAAAGGCAGCACCCCUUCGCACAGAAUGCUGUUAUUCAGCUAUUUACAUUUAAAUCUUUAUCAAAUUCUUUCAACAGGCAAACAAUGAAACAUAACAAAACCUAAAAGAAAAUCUUCCUUACUUCCAAAAAAUAACAAUUCUACUCAAUAUCCAAUACUAGAAAAGGCCUUACUCCGAUAAACUGCACAGAAAUAAAUUACUAUCCCCAGUAAAGCUUCAUCUCUCACUGUACAAUUUAUAAACAAAUAUUCGCAGAUGCCCAUUUCUUUUCCCUUUAAGAAAAAUUCACAACUUUCCUUACAUUUUAAAUCCAUUCAUUUCCUUAAAUUUUUUUCCCCAAAGCAACAUCUCCAUUGAAGAAAACUAAUCAGGCCCAUUUAGACUCGUUCCUAGAGAAAAGUUCACAAGCCCAAGGUCUAAACAAAAUCUUUCCAGAAAGAAGAAAACUAAGUCAACUAUGUUAGAGAUGAAUUACUAGCUCAAGAAUCUUGAGAUAACAUAAAAACUACUAUGACUGUGGAUGAAUUAGCAGUUUUAAAUGCCCCAGGAAGGUAAAACCUCCGCCCCCACCAAGAAAAGUCUUACCAGGCGGCAUUAAUUCCUUAUACGCAGGCCGUCUCAGUUAGAAGACACCAAACAUGAAGGGUGAGAUAAAGCCGGAAAACUCAAGCGCAUGAGCAGUUCUGAAGACGAUGCGGAGGUCUUGGCUGCUGCCACGGGUAACUUUCCACUUUCAGGUGCCAAGGGGAGAGAGGACUAACUUUAACUGGACCCCCAGGAAAGUGCACCCCAGGUGUGCUCCUCUCUAGAAAAGCCGUCUCACUUCACAUCUUUGCUGCCUAAGGAACCUGCCACCUGGACACCACUCUUCAGCUUCUCAGAACCCUGCAGUUACCUCCGCAGUUAGACCCUACCUUAUAUGGGGCUCCGUAUAAGGCAGCGCCACUUGUCAGCGUCCCUCCACCUUCAGUCAAUGUUUGGAGGUACGCCCUGUCUUAACCCUUCAACAGUUCAUCUUUUCCCUGUGCACACUGCUUCCUCUUCUGCUGCUUUGGGCUCAUGCAAGAUGCAGUUGGCUGUAAGUUUCUCAGAAGGAAUCUGCAGUUUCACUCAAGACAAAUACAUUAUUAGGCUCCUUGUACGUGGAGGCCCUUACUAGUGUAUCAUGUAGUCAAGGGACAUCUAAAUUCUUACCAACUUCUUAGACCAAUCAAAUAAUAAAAUCUUAAAAUACCAAAAACAUGGAUUCAUCUUUCUUCUAAGAAAGACCUAAUAAUCCACUACAGUUUGGUUUUUUCCACAAAAAGUGUAAAAUAAAGUCAGUGUUAUAGGCUGAAUUGUGCAUCCUCUUUCAAAUCCAUAUGUUGAAGGCCUUACUCCCUGCAUCUCAAAAUGUGACUGUAUUUGGAGAUAAGGCCUUUAAAGAGGUGGUUACAUUAAAAUGAGGCCAGCAGGGUGGUCUUAAUCCAAUCUGACUAGUAUCCUUAUAAGAGGAAAUUUGGACACAGAGAGAGAGAGACCAGGACUGGUGUCCUUAUAAGAGGAAAUAUGGACAUAGACCGACACCACAUGAGUAGACAAAGCGAGCAGACAGACAUCAGCAAGCCAAGGAGAGAGGCCUCAAGAAACAACCCUGCUGGCAACUUCAUCUUGAACUUCUAGCCUCCAGAACUGCGAGGAAUAAAUUUCUACUGUUUAAGCCAAUCUAUGGUAUUUUGUUACGGCAGCCCGAGCAAACUAACAGAGCUGGAAAGAGAAAACAGGAGCUAAGUGACCAAGUAAUUCAGCAAGACAACAGUAUAAGACGCAACAUCAGUCCAAACAGUCCUCAGGUGGGUGAUUCCAGGGGAGAAAAAGGGUGACCCCCCUUGGGUCCCGUGUCCUUCCCCGGGGACACACAGCUUGACCGACAAACCACAUUCUCAGCCUGGCUCCUUCUACAAUGCAGGGCCCGAGGACAGCAGCCCCGCCCUGUGGACAGAGAGACCUGGCAGGUGAGGUGGGCCCAGCAGGAUGGAGAAGAUUUGCUGGCAGAGAAGAUGAGGGGUAGCAAAGAGAGGCCAUGUGCAUUAAGAGGACAUUCAAAAGCCCAAGUGAGAGAGAACGAAUAAACAAACAGGACAAGGGGCAUAAAGAACAACCCCACAAUCUGUAAUUAGCAAAUACACAUUUGAAAUAUUGGCCAAUCUCCCCUUAAGUUAGGAAAAAUAAAAAAUUUUUAACACGAUGCUGUUUACGCAAAAAUAAGCACAUUCAGAACACUGGUAUUAAUAGCCAUCAUAAUUCACCGACAGGAGCACUGAAGUUUAGGGAGGGAGAGCCGUAACCCGCCCAAGAUCGAGUGGCUGCCAGAGGCAGAAGCUAGACAGAAACUCAGGUUUUUCUAGUACAGGGCUUCUCAACUGGGGGGUGACUCCAUCAUAAAAGGGACAUUUGGCAAUGCGUAGUGACAUCUUUAAUUGUCACAACAGGAGGAGGUGCUAGUGAUACCUACUGGACAGAGGCCAGGGAUGCAGCAGACACAACGCACAAGUCGGCCUCCAGCAACAAGUUACCAUCCAGCUCAACUGUCAACAGGGCCACCCUAGCGAACUUCUGCUCUAGCACCAAAACCACUGCAACCACAUUUUCGCAACCUUUUUCUAAGUUUGAAAUAAUUUCCAAAAAAA